GACGAACGCUGGCGGCGUGCUUAACACAUGCAAGUCGAACGGAAAGGCCCUUCGGGGUACUCGAGUGGCGAACGGGUGAGUAACACGUGGGUGAUCUGCUCUGCACUUUGGGAUAAGCCUGGGAAACUGGGUCUAAUACCGAAUAGGACCACGCGCUUCAUGGUGUGUGGGGGCAAGCUUUUGCGGUGUGGGAUGGGCCCGCGGCGUAUCAGCUUGUUGGUGGGGUAAUGGCCUCCCAAGGCGACGACGGGUAGCCGGCCUGUGAGGGUGACCGGCCACACUGGGACUGAGGUACGGCCCAGACUGCUACGGGAGGCAGCAGUGGGGAAUAUUGCACAAUGGGCGCAAGCCUGAUGCAGCGACGCCGCGUGAGGGAUGACGGCCUUCGGGUUGUAAACCUCUUUCAAUAGGGACGAAGCGGAAGUGACGGUACCUAUAGAAGAAGCACCGGCCAACUACGUG
RNAcentral lists this ribosomal RNA (462 nucleotides) under uncultured bacterium. RNAcentral describes it as "partial 16S ribosomal RNA". It matches the Rfam family "Bacterial small subunit ribosomal RNA", at positions 28 to 507 of the family's 1533-position model. The record is from RNAcentral.